CCAACGGCAAGACGGGUGUAUUAACACGUAGGCAACCUGCCUGUAAGACUGGGGAUAACAUAGGGAAACUUAUGCUAAUACCGGAUAUAGUGUUUCCUCGCAUGAGGAGAUACGGAAAGAUGGCGCAAGCUAUCACUUACAGAUGGGCCUGCGGCGCAUUAACUACUUGGUGGGGUAUCGGCCUACCAAGGCGACGAUGCGUAUCCGACCUGAGAGGGUGACCGGCCACACUGGGACUGAGACACGGCCCAUACUCCUACGGGAGGCAGCAGUAGGGAAUUUGCCACAUUGGACUAAAGUCUGAUGGAGCAACGCCGCGUGAACGAUGAAGGUCUUCGGAUUGUAAAGUUCUGU
Molecule: ribosomal RNA, 354 nt
Filed under: uncultured bacterium
Lineage: Bacteria
Description: bacterial SSU rRNA
Rfam family: Bacterial small subunit ribosomal RNA
Source: RNAcentral